Molecule: ribosomal RNA, 119 nt
Filed under: Pteropus vampyrus (large flying fox)
Lineage: Eukaryota; Metazoa; Chordata; Mammalia; Chiroptera; Pteropodidae
Source: RNAcentral
GUCUAUGGCCAUGCCACUCUGAACAAGCCUGAUCCCGUUUGAUCUUGGAAGCUAAGCAAGGUCGAGCCUGGUUAGUAUUUGGCUGGGAGACCACCUAGAAAGACCAGAUGCUACAGGUA